Chiroxiphia lanceolata (lance-tailed manakin) is the source of this 2489-nucleotide long non-coding RNA. RefSeq lists it as uncharacterized. Lineage: Eukaryota; Metazoa; Chordata; Aves; Passeriformes; Pipridae. The transcript has 3 exons. The record is from RefSeq and is a predicted model, not a curated record.
GGGGGUGCGCUGACCAGCCGUGACUCAUCGCUGCGCCGGGGGGCAACACGGCCCUACACGCACCUGAGAGCCGCGCCGGAGCUGCCGGAGCCUCUGUUCAGCUCCCUCUGCUCGGCUCCCCCCGCCCGCCGCUCGGCCCCGCUUCCGGCGCCGAGCCGGGCGGCCCGCAGGGUCUGGUGGGACACCCCACACGCCCCAGCGGGGCUUGCACGGGACUCGCCGUAGCCCCAUCCCCUGCAGCCUCCGCCCGCCAGGGCUCCUCUAGGCCUCGUCACACUGCCAGCGCGGCCUUGCCCGGACACCGUCAGGCGCCGGUGCCGCCCUCGGCAGAGCCCGCGGUGCGGGGUCGGGGCUGAGACGGCCCUGCGGGACCGGGCCGGGGCUGAGGGGCGCGGGCAGGCCCGGGCCGGGCUCAGCGCGGCGGGCAAGGCCACUGCCCGCCCUCCAGGGCCGUGAGGCGCCGCCGCCAUCUUGGCGUGGCGCGGGCGCCGCCGCCGCGCAGGAAAUGGAGGACGCGUGGCCGUGAGGGCACCCGGGCCCCCUCAGCGCGGAGGGCGCUGCCGAACACCCGCGCGGGGCUCCCACGCGCUACAGCCCAAAGACACGAGAGGAAAAAAGUUGUUUUGAGUCACUUAACAAAAUUUCCACUCGGACUCUGUGCUGUACGCAAAGCUUAGGAAUAGUGUUCCUGCUUGGUGUUCUGAGGUUGUUUACAUAAAUCCUCUCCUUUGUGCCUGGGAACUUUGCAAAUGAAUUAGUGACCAAUUUUAUUGCCUCGAACGCACUCCCACGUUCAUGGCCUGGCAACUACAACACACCAGCAGUGUCCAGCAUCAGUCGUCAUCCUUUUGUUCCAAGUCACACCGUUUAUGUUUAAAAGUCUUUCCUUCCCAGUCCAUCAGUUACAAGAAGGACCCGCCGAGCCCCGGGGCUCAGAAAUAAAAUGUGGGGCUGAUCGUGAAGAUGUUUUGGACUGACCUUUCCUCAAGCUGUAAAUCUAAUAUUAUAGCACUAUAGUUAAGUUUCUUUUAUUAGACUAUGAGUAACAACGUAUGUCUUUUCCUCGUGUUAAGUGCAGCUCAUUUAAGAUGGACUUUACGUGAGUUUAUUUGGGGUUUGUGCGCUGUAUUUGCGUGUCUGUUCGGUGUGUUUAUAAUGAGCUGUAUUUUCCACAGAGCUACACCCGCUGUGCAUCAGCACGGAGGUGUGAAAAGGGGACCUCUCAGACCUAUCUCUGCAUAUUACUCUAUAAUGUCUGACAAACUUAUGCCAGGUCUUGUUCUGGCAUUUGUUUCACAGCACUGUAAAAAAUAUCAGCAUCACCAACAAGCUUUGAACCUGUAAUAAUAUUUUUUCCAUUCAUUACUUUUUUUGUCUUUACUGUCAUGGUUCAGCAUUAUUUUCGUGGCCUUGGGUUGCCUCAGAUACAUUACAAUCCUGUUCACAAGUAGUUGCACUUUUAGUUUUCAUGGCUAGGGAUACAGGAAAGAAAAACAAUGUGUGUAGCUAAGCAAGUGCUCAGAGCUUCUAAAUCAUGAGUGUGUCUGCACUGCAUUAAAAAAAACCAAUCAAACAACAGAUCAAUGUCACUCAGAAAGGCUACAGAGACAAAAUCACAUAUCGUCAAUUUUUGCAGCAAAUCUUUUUUUAAAGUACUAGAACCUGGUCUCUCUAUGAGUCAGGAAUUUCUGACCAACAAACCAAUUGUAAUACAACUUUUCUAACUUUUCUUGUGUUUCGCUGGUUGUACUUCUUGAACUGUCCAUGAGGCCAGGAAACUCCAAACUUAACUUUGGUGGAACCUGUAGACUUUCUGUCAGCAAAAGUUUUUGUGACUGAUAGAGAUGGUAAAUUGCCCUGAACAAAUGAAAACUUUAUUUAGAAGAACUUCAAAUCAUACACUGGACUCUCCCUUACUUGAAAUGGAAAGAGGGUGCAACUGUGAGUGAAAAUGCUUUACUCCAGAAGAGUUACUGCUGGUGGCACAUCAAUUAAUCACCCUCCCAAAGUGAACUGCCUCAAAUACAGCUCCAGUUCUUAUAAUACAGGAUAUUUUUAGCUGUGUUUCAUUAUAAUGGAGGAAAUUCUCCUCCAGCAGAUAGUAAGAGAGUCUUCUAACAGUGUUUAGUUUGUGUACUUGCCCCAAGAAUUAAUUUGGCUUGUUGUAUCUUAGUAAAGCUUGCAAUUCUUGUUUUUCAGGUUCCUCUGAUAUUUAGGCAAAGGAUAGUCUUGCAGUUACAGAACAAAAGUGAGAAGCAUGACAUCUAUUCCUGGCUCAGUUACUUCCUAGAGAAAACAAAGGAGACAGAGAACAAGAUACCCACAUUUAGAGUCAGGCAAGAAGAACUUCCUCUGCUAAUGCCUGUGUAUGGAGAUAAAACCUGGAUGUGAAGGCACCACGAGGUCAUACCCAGCAUAACCAAUGGCCAGUGUACCAGGCUGAGUGUGGUGUUUUACCCAAAAUACUGCAGAGGAUUUGGGAGAAUGAG